CAGAGGUUAGCAGUGCCACUCGUUCAUCAGCUACAAUUCACAGAGAACAGAGGUUAGCAGUGCCACUCGUUCAUCAGCUACAAUUCACAGAGAGCAGAGGUUAGCAGUGUCACUCGUUCAUCAGCUACAAUUCACAGAGAGCAGAGGUUAGCAGUGUCACUCGUUCAUCAGCUACAAUUCACAGAGAACAGAGGUUAGCAGUGCCACUCGUUCAUCAGCUACAAUUCACAGAGAGCAGAGGUUAGCAGUGUCACUCGUUCAUCAGCUACAAUUCAC
Acipenser ruthenus (sterlet) is the source of this 276-nucleotide long non-coding RNA. RefSeq lists it as uncharacterized. NCBI's taxonomy places the organism in Eukaryota, Metazoa, Chordata, Actinopteri, Acipenseriformes, Acipenseridae. The transcript is spliced from 3 exons. The record is from RefSeq and is a predicted model, not a curated record.